AGAGACAGCAGUAGCCGCGGGAAUACGAAGGGUGCAAGCGUUAAUCGGAAUUACUGGGCGUAAGCGCGCGUAGGUGGUUCAUUAAGUUGGAUGUGAAAGCCCCGGGCUCAACCUGGGAACUGCAUCCAAAACUGGUGAGCUAGAGUACGGUAGAGGGUAGUGGAAUUUCCUGUGUAGCGGUGAAAUGCGUAGAUAUAGGAAGGAACACCAGUGGCGAAGGCGACUACCUGGACUGAUACUGACACUGAGGUGCGAAAGCGUGGGGAGCAAACAGGAUUAGAUACCCCGGUAGUCCCUGUCUCUUAUACA
Molecule: ribosomal RNA, 309 nt
Filed under: uncultured bacterium
Lineage: Bacteria
Description: partial 16S ribosomal RNA
Rfam family: Bacterial small subunit ribosomal RNA
Source: RNAcentral